Molecule: non-coding RNA, 234 nt
Filed under: Fictibacillus enclensis
Lineage: Bacteria; Bacillati; Bacillota; Bacilli; Caryophanales; Fictibacillaceae
Description: T-box sequence
Rfam family: T-box leader
About the family: Uncharged tRNA acts as the effector for transcription antitermination of genes in the T-box leader family. T-boxes are found upstream of many aminoacyl-tRNA synthetase genes and some amino acid biosynthetic genes usually in Gram-positive bacteria.
Source: RNAcentral
UAAAUUACGAUGAUAAGGACUAGUAAAAAAGCAGAAGGAAGCAGAGAGUUGACGGAUGGUGCAAGUCAACCCCAAACCUUUUUGAACUCGCCUUGUAGUUGCGGAAGUGAACAUUUGUAGCUUCUGUCGUGCAACCCGCGUUAAGGGUCCAAUGAGAGAGCGUGGCACGUUUGCACGCUAAUGUGGGUGGUACCGCGGCAGGUUAAUAAGUAUACACAACCUUUCGUCCCUGAA